This 659-nucleotide long non-coding RNA is filed under the name Homo sapiens (human). RNAcentral's name for it is "HSALNT0383330". Lineage: Eukaryota; Metazoa; Chordata; Mammalia; Primates; Hominidae. The record is from RNAcentral.
AAUCAUUCAUAUUGGCAGGGCGCAGUGGAUCACGCCUCUAAUCCCAGCGCAUUGGGAGGCCGAGGCAGGUGGAUCACCUGAGGUCAGGAGUUCAAGACCAGCCUGGCCAACAUGGUGAAACCUCAUCUCUACUAAAAAUACAAAAAUUAACUGGAUGUGGUGGCAGGCACCUGUAAUCCCAGCUAAUCUGGAGACUGAGGCAGAAGAAUUGCUUGAACCUGGGAGACUGAGGCAGGAGAAGUUGCAGUGAGAUGAAAUUGCACCACUGCACUCCAGCCUGUGCAACAAGAGCAAAAAAACAAGAGCAAAAAAGGUUUCUGCCUGUCAUCCUCACAAUGGGUACCAGAUAUCACCUUCUUCCUACAUGCCUGCCAGAGCCAACAUAUACAGAUACGCAGAUUUUGAACUUCAGAAUUCAGCAAGGCACCUUCAGACAGACUACUCACAGAGUUUUACGGUGCCCAAUCUACACAACCACACCUGGUAGCGUUCCUGGCCUUUGUGAAACAAUUUACAUGGCUUUGUGCAUAUAAUGCUCACAACAAUCCCAUUAAGUCAACAGUCAACAUUUCACUGUCUGAAAAACAAGUCUGACAGCAAGUAUCUAUUUUUAUUAUUAUCAAAAGGUUUCUUUUUACUUUUAAAAUAUUGAACUUAAA